AGCAAACAAUGCCCUCCAACAAUAAGGAGUGUUUUUAAAAUUGGACCAAUCAUUGAAUUGUUAGUCCACAUGCAACAUGCACUAGUAAUGGGAGUUAGAGCAUCUAUAAUGGCAGUUCAUUAGUUUUUCAUACCAACAAACCCACCUUUUUCUCGAUUGUCCGCUGUAGUGCAUAGGGGGAUUGCCAUGUCAGAUCAUCUGUUCUUCAGUAAGAACUCUAACAAAUUGGAUCUUAAGAAUCAAUUUUUUGGUAUAAAUAACAGAGAAGAAAGGGAAAGUAACGGUUAUCAAUCUAUAUCCUAUAUAAUAAAAGAGAAGUAUAGAAAAAAUGCUGGUGUGUCCAUGCUUGAAAAUUAGACAGUUGUCCUUUUUAAUGGUUUUUGGUCAUUUUGGGUGUCCAAUUCCCACUCCUCUGGUUGUGCAACGUUGCUUUGUUUCAGUCGGUUUUCAUUUUUUGGGUGUGCCACGUUGCUUGAUGUGUUUCAACCAGUUUUCAUUUUUUGCCCUUGCAUGUUCCACCCAUUGAUCUUUUCUUCACUUUUGUAUCAUCCGUUCAUUCCUUUUCCGCAUCACACUUUGUUGGUUGCUCCACGUAUUGCUCCACGUGUCUUCUUUUUCAGCCUUCAUCCCGAGCCUUCUCACUUUCCAUUUUAUCUUUCCAUUUCUCUCUCUCCCGUGCUUUCUAGAGCUAGUGUUUUGGGAGGAGUAGCGAUUCAUUUUUUUAAUUGUGAGAGAAGAGAAGAGGACGACAAAGAAGAAGAUUGCUUUUGGCAUUGCAUGCAUAUGGGGUAUGUUUUAUGAAUCCAACCAUAGCUGGAAAAAAAAAGUUGACUCCUUUUUUUUUCCUUUUACCUUGGAGUUUUUGGUGUGCUGAAUUGCGAGGAUGUUUUGGGAAUUGGGGAUUUUGUGUUUUGGUUGGGUUGGGUGGUGUGGAUGCAUUGCAUGAAUGUGUGGAAUUUGGAAAUGUUUGAGAGAUUGUGCUGUUCUGUUGUAAAUUGUGGAGUUUUUUUUUUUACGAUCCCGGAGAUGAAGAAACCACCUACGAUCAUGAAGAGUGCCUGAUUUGCUUUCUGGUAUGAUUUCUAUCGCAUGCCUUCAAUAUUUGUUUGUCUUUACUUAUCCUGUUACUCUAGCUGUCAAUUCAACUAUGCACACUCCUUUCAAACUGCAAAAUUGACCUCCUGGCUACCUUGGUUGGAUUUAAUGAUUUAUAUGGAGGAGCACCCGUGCAAAGGAUCACAUAGGAAGUGUUGUAAGGUUUGCUAUGGUGGUGCUUCACAAGUUGCAGUUUGUGUUCCUGUUUAAGGGACUGUGGGAAACAAGUGUACUUGGGUGAGGACGCAAGGCAAGUAGAAGAUUUGUUUUAUAUUAACUACAACUUUCUUUAAUAUCACAUUCUUUUUCUUUAUUUUCUUUUAGGUGGAUUUGACACAGUGCAUGUUGCGGCAAGGGCUUAUGAUCGAUCUGCGAUCAAGUUCCGUGGCGUUGAUGCAGAUAUCAAUUUCAACGUUAGCGAUUACGAUGAAGAUAUAAAGCAGUUUGUGGAUUUUAUGUGCAAAUGAGUAACUUCACGAAGGAGGAGUUUGUGCAUAUUUUACGGCGACAGUGCACUGGUUUUUCAAGGGGAAGCUCCAAAUAUAGGGGAGUUACUCUGCCCAAGUGCGGGCGAUGGGAUUCUAAGUUGCAGCAAAGGAAGGUGGUAGAGGACCAAGUGUAUGGGAUACCUUUACCCAUAAAUAUCCAGAUAAGAUCAAGGAUGGAAGUAACGGCGACAUAGCGAUUGGCUCCUACCACCACUAGGGAAGGUGGAAAAGGACCAAGUAUAUGGGAUACUUUCACUCAUAAAUAACCAAGUAUAUGAACCAAAUCAACCAAUGGUGUUCAAGCAAAAGAAAAUGUCACUUGAGCAGAUUAUAUGCAGCAGGUACAUCGCCUCAUUUUACCGCUUACUGAAGACAAUAAAAGUGUUACAAGGAGGAGUGAAGAUGGAAGAAGCCAUUACCAAAGCCAAAUUAAAAGCAAACUUUGGCAUUGGAAUCAUUAUCAGGACCAUGAGGGUGAAAUUUUGGAAGCUGCAACAAAGUUUAUGCCAAAUACUUAUAGUAUCAGAGUGGUAGAAUCUCUAGCCUUGAGAUGGUGUAUUGAAGUCAUGUAAUAAGGGACCAACACUGCAUUACGCAUAUUUUGAUUAGGGGUGGGUAAGCGGGCCGGCCCGCCCCUAUAAGCCCGCAUUGGCAGUGGACCGGGCCAAUCCGCCCUGCUUCUUACACGAACCAAAUAAAUUGGUCCACCCCCGUCCCGCGUACCCCGCGGGUCAAAUGGGCCGGUCCACGGGCCUAAUUUUAAUAGAAUUUUAAUUUUAAUAAAAAUAGAAUACAAUCA
Molecule: long non-coding RNA, 2382 nt
Organism: Glycine soja
Lineage: Eukaryota; Viridiplantae; Streptophyta; Magnoliopsida; Fabales; Fabaceae
Exons: 7
Source: RefSeq, a predicted model, not a curated record